GACGAACGCUGGCGGCGUGCUUAACACAUGCAAGUCGAACGGAAAGGCCCUGCUUUUGUGGGGUGCUCGAGUGGCGAACGGGUGAGUAACACGAGAGUAACCUGCCCUUGACUUUGGGAUAACUUCAGGAAACUGGGGCUAAUACCGUACAGGAUCUCCUGCUGCAUGGUGGGGGUUGGAAAGUUUCGGCGGUUGGGGAUGGACUCGCGGCUUAUCAGCUUGUUGGUUGGGUAGUGGCUUACCAAGGCUUUGACGGGUAGCCGGCCUGAGAGGGUGACCGGCCACAAUGGGACUGAGAUACGGCGCAGAGUCCUACGGGAGGCAGCAGUGGGGAAUAUUGCACAGUGGGCGCGAGCCGGAUGCAGCGGCGCCGCGUGCGUGAUGACGGCCUUCGGGUUGUGAACCGCUUUCGCCUAUGACGAAGCGUGAGUGACGGUACUGGGUAAAGAAGCACCGGCUAACUACGUG
Molecule: ribosomal RNA, 468 nt
Filed under: uncultured bacterium
Lineage: Bacteria
Description: partial 16S ribosomal RNA
Rfam family: Bacterial small subunit ribosomal RNA
Source: RNAcentral